Molecule: long non-coding RNA, 195 nt
Filed under: Rattus norvegicus (Norway rat)
Lineage: Eukaryota; Metazoa; Chordata; Mammalia; Rodentia; Muridae
Description: partial Pvt1
Source: RNAcentral
AUGCAAAUUCUGGAGUAAUACACCUGGCCUGCCUAGAGAUGUUACAAGUGGCCUAAUGGAUUUUUCUAGCCUGGACGCCCACUGGGGACAAGGAUCAUUACUGACAGGAUUGUAUCUCUACCCUUGACUCCAUGGGAAUAUUUGGUCUGCUCUCUCGGGCUCCCUCUAAAAUCAUAUCCUUUAAGCAUUCCAGAA